Molecule: long non-coding RNA, 1263 nt
Filed under: Anser brachyrhynchus (Pink-footed goose)
Lineage: Eukaryota; Metazoa; Chordata; Aves; Anseriformes; Anatidae
Description: lncRNA (ENSABRG00000000694.1)
Source: RNAcentral
AUGAACAUAAACAGAUGCUGCAAGCAGAUGCUCGAGUGUUCCCAGCAUACCUAUCUAAUUAUUUUAGGCACUGAGAAUAGCUCGGGUCUGGUACAUGACAAACGCAGGAGUUCCCCCUCCAAGGGGUUAUGCCGAUCCGUGCAACAAACUCCCCAGCAAGGAAAGCUUCGGCUCGGGAAUUUCGGGGCACCCUGCAUGCCCCGGGCCAGCUCCCGGCGCCUCGCCCCUGCUCCCGGAAAGCAGGCUGGCACCUCGGGGUUGGGGACCCGUUUGCAAGAGAUGCAAGAAGAAGGCUCUCCUUACCUGCCGGUGGCCUUAACGGAGGUGCUUAGAGAGUUAAAAGGGCGUAAGAUCCAGCAGCUGGGGGGGACGCAGCAAGCCAAUCCCAAGGUGCCCGCCGGCCGCCGCCGCACCGCUUUGCAACUGAGCCACUCAAUGAGCCGCUGCCCCUUUUUGCGGGCUGCCAUGGGAUGUUUAAUAGCGGCCCGGCCGUCCCCGCCCUCGGCGCUAUCCCGGACCAAUGGGAGGCGGGAGGCCGGGCCGUGCCGAGCCGAGCCGAGCCGCGCGGGGCUGCGGGGAGAGCGGCGGAGCGGCCCCGGCCGGGGGGGAGCCGCGGGGCUGGGAGCGGGGCCGGGCGCGGGGCUGCCCCGCCGGGGGGCGCCGCGGGGCACGGAGAGCGCGGGGGCGGCUCGGAGGGGAGGAGGAGGUGGGAGAGCAAAAGCUCCGGAGCGCCCAUCCCCGGGGCGCCCAUCCCCGGAGCGCCCAGCCUCGGAGCGUCCAUCCCCGGAGCGUCCAUCCCCGGAGCGCCCAGCCCCGGAGCGCCCAGCCCCGGGGCGCCCAGCCCCGGGGCGCCCAGCCCCGGAGCUCCCAAGCCCCGGGGCACCCAAACCCCGGAACGCCCCGGAGCGCCCAUCCCUGGAGCAGCCAUCCCCAGAGCGCCCAAGCCCCGGAGCACCCCGAAGCACCCAAGCCCCAGAGCACCCAUCCCCGAAGCGCCCAUCCCCAGGGCACCCAUCCCCGGGACACCCAAGCCCCGGAGCGCCCAGCCCAGCCUUCCCCAAGCCCCAGGGCACCCACUCUGCCCCACAUCCACCGGUUGAGCCCGCGGGCACCGAGCACCUGCCCACGGGUGUUUUCCCCACCCCGUGUUGGGAAGGGUUUUAUGGGGAGCUUGUGAAGGUGCCGGGGGAUCUGCGUGCCUGCUCGCUCCGGUUUUCUCGUCUCGGGCUCGUGUCGGAGGGCCGGUGUAGGAAGAAACAAUAG